RNAcentral lists this ribosomal RNA (38 nucleotides) under Petunia axillaris subsp. subandina. Its description in RNAcentral is "partial 28S ribosomal RNA". The record is from RNAcentral. Lineage: Eukaryota; Viridiplantae; Streptophyta; Magnoliopsida; Solanales; Solanaceae.
UGAGCUCCAGCUCUCCGAACGCGACCCCAGUCAGGCGU